This 499-nucleotide ribosomal RNA is filed under the name uncultured bacterium. Its description in RNAcentral is "bacterial SSU rRNA". It matches the Rfam family "Bacterial small subunit ribosomal RNA", at positions 791 to 1300 of the family's 1533-position model. The record is from RNAcentral.
UAGUCCACGCUGUAAACGAUGUACACUAGUUGUUGGACUUAUUCAGUGACUAAGCGAAAGUGAUAAGUGUCCCACCUGGGGAGUACGAUCGCAAGAUUGAAACUCAAAGGAAUUGACGGGGGCCCGCACAAGCGGUGGAGCAUGUGGUUUAAUUCGAUGAUACGCGAGGAACCUUACCAGGGCUUAAAUGUAGUGGGACAGGUCUAGAGAUAGAUUUUUCUUCGGACUCAUUACAAGGUGCUGCAUGGUUGUCGUCAGCUCGUGCCGUGAGGUGUCAGGUUAAGUCCUAUAACGAGCGCAACCCUUGUCGUUAGUUGCCAGCAAGUAAAGUUGGGGACUCUAGCGAGACUGCCGGUGCAAACCGAGAGGAAGGUGGGGAUGACGUCAAAUCAUCACGGCCCUUACGUCCUGGGCUACACACGUGCUACAAUGGUAUAGACAAUGAGCAGCCACAACGCGAGUUGGAGCGAAUCUAUAAACUAUAUCACAGUUCGGAUCG